RNAcentral lists this ribosomal RNA (722 nucleotides) under uncultured Lysobacterales bacterium. RNAcentral describes it as "bacterial SSU rRNA". It matches the Rfam family "Bacterial small subunit ribosomal RNA", at positions 63 to 773 of the family's 1533-position model. Lineage: Bacteria; Pseudomonadati; Pseudomonadota; Gammaproteobacteria; Lysobacterales. The record is from RNAcentral.
CGAACGGCAGCACAGUAAGAGCUUGCUCUUAUGGGUGGCGAGUGGCGGACGGGCGAGGAAUACAUCGGAGUCUACUCUUUCGUGGGGGAUAACGUAGGGAAACUUACGCUAAUACCGCAUACGACCUACGGGUGAAAGCGGAGGACCUUCGGGCUUCGCGCGAUUGAAUGAGCCGAUGUCGGAUUAGCUAGUUGGCGGGGUAAAGGCCCACCAAGGCGACGAUCCGUAGCUGGUCUGAGAGGAUGAUCAGCCACACUGGAACUGAGACACGGUCCAGACUCCUACGGGAGGCAGCAGUGGGGAAUAUUGGACAAUGGGCGCAAGCCUGAUCCAGCCAUGCCGCGUGGGUGAAGAAGGCCUUCGGGUUGUAAAGCCCUUUUGUUGGGAAAGAAAAGCAGUCGGUUAAUACCCGAUUGUUCUGACGGCACCCAAAGAAUAAGCACCGGCUAACUUCGUGCCAGCAGCCGCGGUAAUACGAAGGGUGCAAGCGUUACUCGGAAUUACUGGGCGUAAAGCGUGCGUAGGUGGUGGUUUAAGUCUGUUGUGAAAGCCCUGGGCUCAACCUGGGAAUUGCAGUGGAUACUGGGUCACUAGAGUGUGGUAGAGGGUAGCGGAAUUCCCGGUGUAGCAGUGAAAUGCGUAGAGAUCGGGAGGACAUCCGUGGCGAAGGCGGCUACCUGGACCAACACUGACACUGAGGCACGAAAGCGUGGGGAGCAAAC